CCUACGGGAGGCAGCAGUGGGGAAUAUUGCACAAUGGGGGGAACCCUGAUGCAGCGACGCCGCGUGGGUGAGGAAGUACUUCGGUAUGUAAAGCCCUAUCAGCAGGGAAGAAAAUGACGGUACCUGACUAAGAAUCCCCGGCUAACUACGUGCCAGCAGCCGCGGUAAUACGUAGGGGGCCAGCGUUAUCCGGAUUUACUGGGUGUAAAGGGAGCGUAGACGGCGUGCCAAGUCUGAUGUGAAAGGCCGGGGCUCAACCCCGAGACUGCAUUGGAAACUGGCAUGCUGGAGUGCAGGAGGGGCAAGCGGAAUUCCUAGUGUAGCGGUGAAAUGCGUAGAUAUUAGGAGGAACACCGGUGGCGAAGGCGGCUUGCUGGACGGUAACUGACGCUGAGGCUCGAAAGCGUGGGGAGCAAACAGGAUUAGAUACCCGAGUAGUC
Molecule: ribosomal RNA, 440 nt
Filed under: uncultured bacterium
Lineage: Bacteria
Description: partial 16S ribosomal RNA
Rfam family: Bacterial small subunit ribosomal RNA
Source: RNAcentral